RNAcentral lists this ribosomal RNA (1000 nucleotides) under Clonostachys cf. rosea. RNAcentral describes it as "LSU rRNA". It matches the Rfam family "Eukaryotic large subunit ribosomal RNA", at positions 50 to 1084 of the family's 3401-position model. Lineage: Eukaryota; Fungi; Ascomycota; Sordariomycetes; Hypocreales; Bionectriaceae. The record is from RNAcentral.
GCGGAGGAAAAGAAACCAACAGGGAUUGCCCUAGUAACGGCGAGUGAAGCGGCAACAGCUCAAAUUUGAAAUCUGGCGCAAGCCCGAGUUGUAAUUUGUAGAGGAUGUUUCUGGCGACGUGCCUUCCGAGUUCCCUGGAACGGGACGCCAUAGAGGGUGAGAGCCCCGUACGGUUGGAUGCCUAGCCUCUGUGAAACUCCUUCGACGAGUCGAGUAGUUUGGGAAUGCUGCUCUAAAUGGGAGGUAUACGUCUUCUAAAGCUAAAUACCGGCCAGAGACCGAUAGCGCACAAGUAGAGUGAUCGAAAGAUGAAAAGCACUUUGAAAAGAGGGUUAAAAAGUACGUGAAAUUGUUGAAAGGGAAGCGUUCAUGACCAGACUUGGGCAGGUUGAUCAUCCGUGGUUCUCCGCGGUGCACUCUGCCUGCCCAGGCCAGCAUCAGUUCGCCCCGGGGGAUAAAGGUUUCGGGAAUGUGGCUCCUCCCGGGAGUGUUAUAGCCCGUUGCGUAAUACCCUGGGACGGACUGAGGUUCGCGCUCUGCAAGGAUGCUGGCGUAAUGGUCAUCAACGACCCGUCUUGAAACACGGACCAAGGAGUCGUCUUCGUAUGCGAGUGUUCGGGUGUCAAACCCCUACGCGUAAUUAAUGUGAACGUAGGAGAGAGCUUCGGCGCAUCUCCGACCGAUCCUGAUGUUCUCGGAUGGAUUUGAGUAAGAGCAUACGGGGCCGGACCCGAAAGAAGGUGAACUAUGCCUGUAUAGGGUGAAGCCAGAGGAAACUCUGGUGGAGGCUCGCAGCGGUUCUGACGUGCAAAUCGAUCGUCAAAUAUGGGCAUGGGGGCGAAAGACUAAUCGAACCUUCUAGUAGCUGGUUUCCGCCGAAGUUUCCCUCAGGAUAGCAGUAUUGAACUCAGUUUUAUAGAGGUAAACGCGAAUGAUUAGGGACCCGGGGGCUAUAUAUUGCCUUCAUCCAUUCUCAAACUUUAAAUAUGUAAGAAGCCCU